This 497-nucleotide ribosomal RNA is filed under the name uncultured bacterium. RNAcentral describes it as "partial 16S ribosomal RNA". It matches the Rfam family "Bacterial small subunit ribosomal RNA", at positions 28 to 507 of the family's 1533-position model. The record is from RNAcentral.
GAUGAACGCUGGCGGCGUGCCUAAUACAUGCAAGUCGAGCGAACGGACGAGAAGCUUGCUUCUCUGAUGUUAGCGGCGGACGGGUGAGUAACACGUGGAUAACCUACCUAUAAGACUGGGAUAACUUCGGGAAACCGGAGCUAAUACCGGAUGACAUUUUGAACCGCAUGGUUCAAAAGUGAAAGACGGUCUUGCUGCCACUUAUAGAUGGAUCCGCGCUGCAUUAGCUAGUUGGUAAGGUAACGGCUUACCAAGGCAACGAUGCAUAGCCGACCUGAGAGGGUGAUCGGCCACACUGGAACUGAGACACGGCCCAGACUCCUACGGGAGGCAGCAGUAGGGAAUCUUCCGCAAUGGGCGAAAGCCUGACGGAGCAACGCCGCGUGAGUGAUGAAGGUCUUCGGAUCGUAAAACUCUGUUAUUAGGGAAGAACAUAUGUGUAAGUAACUGUGCACAUCUUGACGGUACCUAAUCAGAAAGCCACGGCUAACUACGUG